GGAGUGAUGUCUGAGUGGCCGAAAGAGCUCGAUUGCUAAUCGAGUGUACGAGAAAUCGUACCGAGGGUUCGAAUCCCUCUCGCUCCG
This 87-nucleotide transfer RNA is filed under the name Watanabea sichuanensis. RNAcentral's name for it is "tRNA-Ser". It matches the Rfam family "tRNA". Rfam says of the family: Transfer RNA (tRNA) molecules are approximately 80 nucleotides in length. Lineage: Eukaryota; Viridiplantae; Chlorophyta; Trebouxiophyceae; Watanabeales; Watanabeaceae. The record is from RNAcentral.